This 693-nucleotide ribosomal RNA is filed under the name uncultured bacterium. RNAcentral describes it as "bacterial SSU rRNA". It matches the Rfam family "Bacterial small subunit ribosomal RNA", at positions 33 to 773 of the family's 1533-position model. The record is from RNAcentral.
ACGCUGGCGGCAUGCCUAACACAUGCAAGUCGAACGAAGGCUUCGGCCUUAGUGGCGCACGGGUGCGUAACGCGUGGGAAUCUGCCCCUUGGUUCGGAAUAACAGUUGGAAACGACUGCUAAUACCGGAUGAUGACGUAAGUCCAAAGAUUUAUCGCCGAGGGAUGAGCCCGCGUAGGAUUAGGUAGUUGGUGUGGUAAAGGCGCACCAAGCCGACGAUCCUUAGCUGGUCUGAGAGGAUGAUCAGCCACACUGGGACUGAGACACGGCCCAGACUCCUACGGGAGGCAGCAGUGGGGAAUAUUGGACAAUGGGCGAAAGCCUGAUCCAGCAAUGCCGCGUGAGUGAUGAAGGCCUUAGGGUUGUAAAGCUCUUUUACCCGGGAUGAUAAUGACAGUACCGGGAGAAUAAGCUCCGGCUAACUCCGUGCCAGCAGCCGCGGUAAUACGGAGGGAGCUAGCGUUAUUCGGAAUUACUGGGCGUAAAGCGCACGUAGGCGGCUUUGUAAGUAAGAGGUGAAAGCCCAGAGCUCAACUCUGGAAUUGCCUUUUAGACUGCAUCGCUUGAAUCAUGGAGAGGUCAGUGGAAUUCCGAGUGUAGAGGUGAAAUUCGUAGAUAUUCGGAAGAACACCAGUGGCGAAGGCGGCUGACUGGACAUGUAUGACGCUGAGGUGCGAAAGCGUGGGGAGCAAAC